UGAAUACUCAGAGAAGGAGUGGGUAGUUGCAGACAAAUUUGGAGGCCGGUGCUCAAGUCAACAUGAUGCCAGGAAAUAUUAAUGUAGGAGAAACGCUGGCAGUGUAAGCCUCUGUGACCAGUAUAGAUAGACGAGACAUAAUAAGGAGUAUCUAAUGGAAGUUCAGCGAAUGUGGUGGCAAUAACAGUGCAUCAAAGACUGCUUUCUUAUGCUGACAGAACAGGAGCAAUCAGUUGUUGAUUGCCUUCAUUUAAGUUUUCAAGAUCCUCUACACACUUAUGCUAAUAGGAGAUAACCAGAGGAAUACAGGCAAGACAAAUCUUUGCUUUUUUCUCCCCUUCCAUCCUUAACAGCAAAUCCAUUUUAAGUAGACGACUCCUUGUAUUGUGUCCUUCAGAUAAAGAACUGAUGCCAUAAAUUGUCUCUGAUACAUAAUUAAUAUUUUAGUUAACGUUUUUUUUCCCUCCUUGCUCUUGCUCCAAAUAACUUAAUUAUUGUUUCAUUUUGAUCUGUAUGAAUUUUGCGUUUCACAAUGUCUAGAAUUUAUCAUUAGAUUAUUAAGGUUUUCACCUUUUCUGUUUUCCUGAAAAAUCUUGUUUUUUUUUUUAAGAACUGUUUUGUUCAUAUUUUCUUUCCUUGUCAGGGAGCAUCUUCUGCGAUUGAAUCCCUUUUCUGAUCAAUUCAAUGCCUAUUCCACAUCAGCAUGAUUGAAUAUUAAUUAAGUAUAUUAAAAUACACUGACUAGAGCCUCUAAUCAAUGCUGCUACUUCUUAAUUUUUUUAUUUAAGAUAGUAAACCCACAGGAAAAUAAUUCUGAGUGUCUUGAUUAAUAUAAACCAAGUAGGGUAAUUUACAAAACAAUCUCUGGAGGUACAUAAGCAAAAUUUAUUAAUCAUAACCACAGCAGACUACAAAACUCAAUUACAAAUAUUUACACUUCUGUCACAGGCACUUAUCUGAUCCAUGCCAAAUGCUGACAGAUUUUAAAGACAAUCACAUUAAGUAUUAAUCAAGCUUGAAGGAUGCAGCCAAGAAACAGCAUACUAAAGAGAUACCCAUCUCCAAAGACAACUGCACGCUCUGAAUAUUCA
RNAcentral lists this long non-coding RNA (1091 nucleotides) under Phasianus colchicus (ring-necked pheasant). RNAcentral's name for it is "lncRNA (ENSPCLG00000005603.1)". Lineage: Eukaryota; Metazoa; Chordata; Aves; Galliformes; Phasianidae. The record is from RNAcentral.